GUCAGCAGUUAACACCAAUGUCUCCUAUAUGCCCCGUAUAGCCGUUGCCAUUCUGCUUCAUUACCACAUGCUGAAACCUUUGAGCCUCAAAAUGCUGCCUGCAAUAAAUAUAUUUAGAUUUGACUUAUAGUUUGUUUUUUGUAGUUGAAUAUUGUGUAUCUGUCAUUCUCUAAGAUUCUUUAGUGAAAAUCUGAAAUUGUGAUAUGCCGAGUUAGAACAUUUUACUUCUUUGAGUAUAUUGUGAAAAAUAUACUCAGCAAAAAAAAUUGACCUAAGUCUGUGUCUUCCAGUGGAGGAUCCCAAGUGUUCAGAACUCAAUGAAACUGUUCCAGGUGUGUAAACACAGAGACACUAACUGCAUCACUCACAGUGGCUCCAGGAAUAAAGCAAGAGUCAAGAAAUAUUUGCCUGAAACUGGAGCGGCCUUCAAACAUAUUUAGAUUUGGCUUAUAAAGAAAAGGUAUCCUUUUAUUUGUUACUUCUUAAAGGAAAUUGAUCUUUCUAGGAUGGUGGAGCAGCUGCUGAAAGCUGUGAGUAUCAAGACUGCACAUCAGAGACUUUUUCAUUUAUACGUCAGACUUGUUCUAAAUUAAAUACUUGACUUAAUCCCUUGAUUCUGGUGUUGUUGCCUGUUGUUUUUUGUAUUGUUUUAACAUUUUUGAAGUGAGAUUUAUAUUGUCUCAAGAGUUACAUUUGUUAAGCAACAGUAGUUCAACCUUACCAACCUAGACACCUUUUCCUCUCUCCUUUUCUAAUCCUCCCCCUGGCUGCCUCCUCCCAGGUUUCUAUCCAUCUAAUAUAUUCUUCUGUUGGUUUUGACAUUCCUCUCUGAACUUUGUGGCAGAGCUGCUGCAGUUUGGAGACCGGGAGUUCUACAGGGACUGGCGGUGUCAUCCACAUACCUGAACCAAUGACUUGGUGGUGUUUCCAUGGUAGGAAAACAAAGCCCUCUUUUCCACCUUUUCCAUGUACAAAUUGGCCACAAUGAGUGAAACUGGGGAACCCAUGGCACACCCAUGUUUCUGCCUGUGGAACUGACCCAUUGUUCCAAAAGCAAACACACUUGGUCGAUGCUGAGAGUGUUCCUGUUGUUGAGGUUGGAAUCAUCCUGUAAUCUCUUACGAACUACCUCCAACGCCUCCAUGACUGGGAUGCAAGUGAAGAGAGAUGUAACAUUGUACAAGACCAUUGUUUCAUCUGCCUCCAUAAUGACAUCUCUCACCUUCUCAACAAAAUCCAAGGUGUUCUGGAUGUGGUGUUCAGAGCUGCCUAUCAACGGGUUGAGGAUCCAAGCCAGAAAAAUAGAGAUGUUAUAGGAAUUUAUGAAUGAACAUGUGUAGUAGAUUUGUGGUCUGCUUUCUUAUGACAGCUGGCCUUGCAUACAGGUCUCACACACAUGGCAGGAUUUCCCUUUAUUUCAUGCUGUCAUGUGGUAGUUAAAAAAGCCUCUUUAUUAAUUUGGAGUCUUAAUGAAGCCUUAAAAAACUGCGCUGCAUGCACUUCUUCAUGAAAGUAGCCACAAGGGGGCAGCUUUGAGCCAAGAUGGUCAGAGCUUUCCUCAAAUCAGUGGCCAGUUAUUCUAUUUAAAUUAUAUAAGAGCUCAUUGUGGUCCAUUUUCAGGUCAGUGUGAGACUUUCUGCUGAAUUACAGAGUGCUGAGUGUUUUAGAUAGAUCGGUGGGUUGUUCUGCGUCCUGGUGCGUUACUAUGGUAAUGAGGCUAUGAUUAAGGAGGCUGCUCUUAAAAGUGAGGAAGUGAAUUCCCUCCUCUGUGUGUGUGUGGCCUGCUUAAGGACCUUUGAGGAAGUCAGUUAAUGUCUCCCAGAGUUUGUGGAAUGAGGAAGUAAAACAGAUGAUGAAUGAUUCUUUCAGAGGACUUUU
Astatotilapia calliptera (eastern happy) is the source of this 1878-nucleotide long non-coding RNA. The record is from Ensembl. Lineage: Eukaryota; Metazoa; Chordata; Actinopteri; Cichliformes; Cichlidae.